AGUGGCAGGCACGUCUUCCGUUUGAGUUCGUAGCCAGUGGGAGUGGCAUGUAAGUGGACUCAGUGACAUGUAAGGGCAGUGCUGUAGCAUCUAGCAGAAGAGGGCAGAAUAGAAGAGGGAGAAAAUGUUAGCUGGCUGGCUUUUCGUUAGCGCUAAAGGGGUACCCCCAUGAGGACACAGGUAAAAUUGGCCUGAGGUGUGGGGACCCCCUCGUCUCUUUACAAUGACAAAUGAGGGCGAGAACCAGCAAAAUGCGAACUGAAGAGACGAGGCCUGAACCGCUUUCUCCCAGAUAAGCUGCUCGAAUUCCCAGAAUAUGAGUCCCUGGCGACUUCACAUCGCUUACUGUAAAAGUGUAAGAGGUUAGGUUACUCCCCAGGCUCUAGAACAAGAGCCCAAUGGCUCCCAGAGAUAGUACGUCCCUCAUCCAAAAGGAAACCUGGCCGGUAGCUUGCCUCCAGCUAAUCUUCCACAUUUCUGCAAACGAGGCGCUUCGGUUUUAUCGUUGCCUUUACAGAGAGCGGAGUCGGAUUUUCAUGAUUCUUGAUGACCUUGUUCUCUCUGCUGUAACAGCCACGGCGAGAGCCAAAACGGACUCGUUCACAGAGAACAAGCAGUUUUGUCUGAUCCUCGUUCUUCGUGUUGAAAUUGCAAUUGUGUUAGUGUGACUGACAGGUUCUCCAAAGAGAUUCAGUGAAAUCCUCCGUCAGGUUCACCAGGAAACAGAAGGUUUCGAGUAGGCGUGUCUGGCUGGUCUCCCCAAAGGGCUCAGUAACAACACAUCAAAAGACUGCUGAAUUCUUAUUUCCCAUCAGAAAAAUAUCAAAGCCAGUCUGAAAUCUGGGAGUGUUUGGAGGGCAGAUGGUAUUAGCCUAGUAGUAAACACAUUUUUGGCUGCUUCUUUUUUUCUCCCUGGUUGCUAUGUUUAAUGUGCUGAGAGAAAGCUGUUUGCUUGCAGAAUCUUAUUAUAGAGCAGAAAUAUACUUGUUCCAGAGAAGAGGAAUUUAAUUGGUUCCAAGUCAAAUGAUGCUAACAGGUGUCACCUCACCAACCCAGGACUUAAAAUGGGUUAUUAUAAAAAGGACGAAUACCUAGUUGUCUGGCUCUCGCUCCCGCCUGUUAUGCAAGACUGCCUGCCCCUGUAAUGUUCCUCCUGAUUAUUUCCAGCAACUUGAGGAGGUGGCUCAUAUGUACCCAUGCACAAGUCCUGUUGGCUACCGCAGCGCCUGCAAUUUUCUUGCUCUUUCGGCUUGAGCUGCUCUCCGCUAUUAUUUGCUACUGAGGCCUGCACCACUUAAUGCAAACUGCAGGUUAAGCCUCCGUUGGUAUUGCUGCUUCGGCCAGGCUCUGUGACACUGAAGGAAGGAACACUGCUGGUUCCCCGGAGGUGCCGAGGACCCGGACUCUGAGCUGUAGUGAAGCAGGAUGGGAAGUAUGUGGGCACAGUGGCCGCGAGAAUGUGUCUCUCACCACAGCGACAUCAUUGAGGUGGACCCCAGCUGCUGUGCUCCGAAAUCAAAAUCACAUUUUAAACAGAAGCUAUGCCUGCCAUGGGCUGCUCCCAGUCAGUUAUAAGCAUGGUGGGGGGGGGGGGGAUACGAAGGCUGACUCCUCCCCGGGAGACGGGGACCGUCUCUGAUGCACCACUGUGACCUGAGGCUUCCUAAUAGCCUGCUCAAACUAUCCUGAGAACUGGAUUGCAGUUCUAGUAUCUGAGAUGCUUCUACCCAACCUCCCUUCCCUUUUUCCCUGUCUCUUUCUCUUGCUGUGUGAUGACUCUCUCAGUUUCCCCUCCUCCCUCUGUAUUUUCUCUCCCAGGCAUUUCCCCUAAUAUAUUUUUCUUCUGCAUGUUUAGUCCCGUCUUGGCAUCUGCUUCUCAUGGGACCAGCGAAUCUGUGUUAUGUGCAGUGGAAUGACUAUUCUCCCUGUUGCUGAAACACAUGUAUCUUCUUGACCACCUCCCUUCAGAGGAGUGUUCUAUCCCAGGCGGUGUCUAGAUCCUUUGGAGUAGAUUUGACCUUGACCUCAACCUCCUCCACUCAUGUUUGCUGGACAUGCUCAGACAUGUCCGAGUCUCAGUAGGAGAUGCAAUAUGACGGAGGCUUGGGCUGAGCCCCUUGCUCUACAUUCUGGAGCAUCUAUUAUGAUACUUUGUGGGUUCGAUGUGUGGCUAGAGAACAAAUAAAUACAAGAAACUA
Long non-coding RNA from Herpailurus yagouaroundi (jaguarundi), 2198 nucleotides. RefSeq lists it as uncharacterized. The record is from RefSeq and is a predicted model, not a curated record. Lineage: Eukaryota; Metazoa; Chordata; Mammalia; Carnivora; Felidae. The transcript is spliced from 2 exons.